GGGGGCGAUCGGUAUCGACCGGGGAGCGCUUGAGAUGAGGAAGGGUGUCGAGGACGUCAGUUACCUCGUAAAAUCUCUGGCAAAAACACAAUUGCCGACAAUUACGGCUAUGCUCUCGCUGCUUAAUUAAAAGUACCGAGCGCGUUGCGGACCUAGCCUACGGGUCCGUAAGGCGAAACUAAAGCGGGCUAGCGUCAAAGCCGUGUCUCAGGACAAUGACGCGAAAUAACACUGGGGCUCGCGCGCAGGAAGCCUGUUCGAUGGCGUCCUGCAAGCAAACUCAAAUAUCGGACUACACACCUAGAUGCCUUAUCCGGGUCUUCGCGGCACGCGGGUUCGAUUCCCGCCGCCUCCACCA
RNAcentral lists this transfer-messenger RNA (358 nucleotides) under Planctomycetota. RNAcentral describes it as "JADLAK01 sp020848275 Standard tmRNA". It matches the Rfam family "transfer-messenger RNA". Rfam says of the family: Bacterial tmRNA, also known as 10Sa RNA or SsrA, is named for its dual tRNA and mRNA-like properties. Its role is to liberate the mRNA from a stalled ribosome. Lineage: Bacteria; Pseudomonadati. The record is from RNAcentral. RNAcentral also lists the same sequence under 1 other name.